GUGGGGAAUCUUGCGCAAUGGGCGAAAGCCUGACGCAGCCAUGCCGCGUGGAUGAUGAAGGUCUUAGGAUUGUAAAAUCCUUUCACCGGUGAAGAUAAUGACUGUAGCCGGAGAAGAAGCCCCGGCUAACUUCGUGCCAGCAGCCGCGGUAAUACGAAGGGGGCUAGCGUUGCUCGGAAUUACUGGGCGUAAAGGGAGCGUAGGCGGACAUUUAAGUCAGGGGUGAAAUCCCGAGGCUCAACCUCGGAACUGCCUUUGAUACUGGGUGUCUUGAGUGUGAGAGAGGUGAGUGGAACUCCGAGUGUAGAGGUGAAAUUCGUAGAUAUUCGGAAGAACACCAGUGGCGAAGGCGACUCACUGGCUCAUUACUGACGCUGAGGCUCGAAAGCGUGGGGAGCAAACAGGAUUAGAUACCCUGGUAGUCC
Molecule: ribosomal RNA, 425 nt
Filed under: uncultured bacterium
Lineage: Bacteria
Description: partial 16S ribosomal RNA
Rfam family: Bacterial small subunit ribosomal RNA
Source: RNAcentral